GGGCAACUACCACUCAGGGCCGGAAAGCUCUCCAAACUCGGUCAUUUAGAGGAAGUAAAAGUCGUAACAAGGUCUCCGUUGGUGAACCAGCGGAGGGAUCAUUACCGAGUUUACAACUCCCAAACCCAAUGUGAACGUUACCAAACUGUUGCCUCGGCGGGAUCUCUGCCCCGGGUGCGUCGCAGCCCCGGACCAAGGCGCCCGCCGGAGGACCAACCUAAAACUCUUAUUGUAUACCCCCUCGCGGGUUUUUUUAUAAUCUGAGCCUUCUCGGCGCCUCUCGUAGGCGUUUCGAAAAUGAAUCAAAACUUUCAACAACGGAUCUCUUGGUUCUGGCAUCGAUGAAGAACGCAGCGAAAUGCGAUAAGUAAUGUGAAUUGCAGAAUUCAGUGAAUCAUCGAAUCUUUGAACGCACAUUGCGCCCGCCAGUAUUCUGGCGGGCAUGCCUGUCCGAGCGUCAUUUCAACCCUCGAACCCCUCCGGGGGGUCGGCGUUGGGGAUCGGCCCUCCCUUAGCGGGUGGCCGUCUCCGAAAUACAGUGGCGGUCUCGCCGCAGCCUCUCCUGCGCAGUAGUUUGCACACUCGCAUCGGGAGCGCGGCGCGUCCACAGCCGUUAAACACCCAACUUCUGAAAUGUUGACCUCGGAUCAGGUAGGAAUACCCGCUGAACUUAAGCAUAUCAAUAAGCGGAGGAAAAGAAACCAACAGGGAUUGCCCCAGUAACGGCGAGUGAAGCGGCAACAGCUCAAAUUUGAAAUCUGGUCCCUAGGGCCCGAGUUGUAAUUUGUAGAGGAUGCUUUUGGUGAGGUGCCGCCCGAGUUCCCUGGAACGG
RNAcentral lists this ribosomal RNA (832 nucleotides) under Trichoderma sp. 4 BRO-2013. RNAcentral describes it as "eukaryotic LSU rRNA". The stretch from base 307 to 460 matches the Rfam family "5.8S ribosomal RNA". The record is from RNAcentral. Lineage: Eukaryota; Fungi; Ascomycota; Sordariomycetes; Hypocreales; Hypocreaceae.